GCCUGUCCUGUCUGACAUAAUAAUAGUGUUAAUAUCAAUGUCUUCAUCUUCUAUAGGGAUGAGUUUGACUUAUAAAAUAAACAUAAAAAUCAAUUAGAAAAUAGCGAUUCCAUUAAAAUUUAAUGAAUUUGUCAUAAAAUAACAUGAAUGAGAGAUUGUAGAUUGUAUUGAGAUCAAGAGAUAGGUGCCUAACAUGUAAAGUGUUAAACACAGAUAGACUUAACAAAGAGUAAUUAGGGUAGUUAAUUAGGUUUUCUCUUUUCAGCAGGUGAAAUUUUAAAGCUUGCUUUGCCACCAAUGAUGCCUUGAUUGAUGAUGGG
Molecule: long non-coding RNA, 320 nt
Filed under: Gossypium raimondii (Peruvian cotton)
Lineage: Eukaryota; Viridiplantae; Streptophyta; Magnoliopsida; Malvales; Malvaceae
Description: long non-coding RNA (GRAI_LNC005152)
Source: RNAcentral